Acanthosepion pharaonis is the source of this 115-nucleotide non-coding RNA. Lineage: Eukaryota; Metazoa; Mollusca; Cephalopoda; Sepiida; Sepiidae. The record is from the annotation of a GenBank genome assembly.
UUACGACAAUAUCACGCUGAAUGACCGGUUUCCUGUACGAUCACCGAAGUUAAGCAAUGUUGAUCUUGGUCAAUAGCUAGAUGGGUGACCGUUUGGGAAUACCAGGUGCUGUAAG